RNAcentral lists this ribosomal RNA (466 nucleotides) under uncultured bacterium. RNAcentral describes it as "bacterial SSU rRNA". It matches the Rfam family "Bacterial small subunit ribosomal RNA", at positions 33 to 507 of the family's 1533-position model. The record is from RNAcentral.
ACGCUGGCGGCGUGCCUAACACAUGCAAGUCGAGCGGGGUCCAUCCGGUAGCAAUACCGGGGAAGACCUAGCGGCGAACGGGUGAGUAACACGUGAGAAACCUGCCCCGAAGUCUGGGAUAACCCGAGGAAACUCGAGCUAAUACCGGAUGUCUUCUUCUGAUCGCAUGGUCGGAUGAAGAAAGAUUUAUCGCUUCGGGAGGGUCUCGCGGCCUAUCAGCUAGUUGGCGGGGUAACGGGCCCACCAAGGCGUCGACGGGUAGCUGGUCUGAGAGGACGAUCAGCCACACUGGGACUGAGACACGGCCCAGACUCCUACGGGAGGCAGCAGUGGGGAAUAUUGCGCAAUGGGCGAAAGCCUGACGCAGCAACGCCGCGUGCGGGAUGAAGGCCUUCGGGUUGUAAACCGCUUUCAGUGGGGACGAAUUCAGACGGUACCCACAGAAGAAGCCCCGGCCAACUACGUG